ACGUCUACAUCUUUAAGGUGUAGAUCAGUUGACUGUCAUACUUCCAAGAAAAGCUCGAACUACUGUAAAGCAUCAAGUACCUGUACCGUAAACCGACACAGGUGGGUUGGUAGAGUAUACCAAGGGGCGCGAGAUAACUCUCUCUAAGGAACUCGGCAAAAUGACCCCGUAACUUCGGGAGAAGGGGUGCCAAGUAACUUAAAUUGCUUGGUCGCAGUGACCAGGCCCUGGCGACUGUUUAUCAAAAACACAGGUCUCCGCAAAGUCGUAAGACAACAUAUGGGGGCUGACGCCUGCCCAGUGCCGGAAGGUUAAAGAAGUUGGUUAUUCAUUCGUGGAGAAGCUGACGACUGAAGCCCCGGUGAACGGCGGCCGUAACUAUAACGGUCCUAAGGUAGCGAAAUUCCUUGUCGGGUAAGUUCCGACCCGCACGAAAGGCGUAACGAUCAGGGCACUGUCUCGGAGAGAGACUCGGUGAAAUAGACAUGUCUGUGAAGAUGCGGACUACCUGCACCUGGACAGAAAGACCCUAUGAAGCUUGACUGUAGCUUGGAAUUGGGUUCGGGCUCUUCUUGCGCAGCCUAGGUGGGAGGCGUUGAAGGUUUUCUUUUGGGAAAGCUGGAGCCAUCAGUGAGAGACCACUCUGGAGGAGCUAGAAUUCUAAUGGCGUUCCUUGAAGCAGGACGCUUGACAGUUUCAGGUGGGCAGUUUGACUGGGGCGGUCACCUCCUAAAAGGUAACGGAGGUGUGCAAAGGUUCCCUCAGGCUGGACGGAAAUCAGCCGUAGAGUGUAAAGGCAGAAGGGAGCUUGACUGCAAGACCUACAAGUCGAGCAGGGGCGAAAGCCGGCCUUAGUGAUCCGACGGUUCCAUGUGGAAGGGCCGUCGCUCAACGGAUAAAAGUUACUCUAGGAUAACAGGCUGAUCUUCCCCAAGAGUUCACAUCGACGGGAAGGUUUGGCUCCUCGAUGUCGGCUCAUCGCAACCUGGGGCGGUAGUACGUCCCAAGGGUUGGGCUGUUCGCCCAUGAAAGCGGUACGUGAGCUGGGUUCAGAACGUCGUGAGACAGUUCGGUCCAUAUCCGGUGUAGGCGUUAGAGCAUUGAGAGGAGCCUUCCAUAGUACGAGAGGACCUGGAAGGACGCACCUCUGGUAUACCAGUUAUCAUGCCAAUGGUACACGCUGGGUAGCCAUGUGCGGAGUGGAUAACCGCUGAAAGCAUCUAAGUGUGAAGCCCACCUCAAGAUGAGUGCUCUCCAUUAGGUCACAGGAAGACAACCUGUUUGAUAGGCAGAAGGUGUAAGGCUAGUAAUAGUUUCAGCUGAUCUGUACUAAUAGACC
This 1339-nucleotide ribosomal RNA is filed under the name metagenome. RNAcentral's name for it is "bacterial LSU rRNA". It matches the Rfam family "Bacterial large subunit ribosomal RNA", at positions 1567 to 2910 of the family's 2925-position model. The record is from RNAcentral.